Panicum virgatum (switchgrass) is the source of this 498-nucleotide long non-coding RNA. RefSeq lists it as uncharacterized. The record is from RefSeq and is a predicted model, not a curated record. NCBI's taxonomy places the organism in Eukaryota, Viridiplantae, Streptophyta, Magnoliopsida, Poales, Poaceae. The transcript has 2 exons.
AUCUGGGUGCUUGACAAAUCUGGCAACUACACAACUCGUUCAAUGUACCGCUUUCUAACUUUUGGGGGUGUGGUCAAUUCCAGAAUGAAGAAGAUCUGGUCUGCAAGAUUGCCUAUGAAAAUUAAAGUCUUUCUCUGGUUAGCUAUUCAAGACAGAAUCCAAUCAGGAGUUGCUCUAAAACAUAAAUCCUGGAAGGGGGACCCAAACUGUAGUUUGUGUACUUCUCCUGAGACGGCAGAUCACAUAAUCUUCCAAUGUGUGUUAGCACGCUUUGCUUGGGUCGGGAAAUGGGGGUUACUGCUUCGAGAGCUUGAUCGCGCCAAGAUCUCAAGCUGAGGACGGCGGAAAUGAAGACUUGGCUAAGGAACUACGAAGACUCGAGAGUUUUGGAUAUAGAUACUUCCUGGUGCUAGUUGUAUUCUGAAGGCUAUUGCUUUCUGUUGGAGCUCUGCUCCCUUUUCUUUCUUUUGCUGAACGUGGUGUGUUUUGUGCGGCCUA